UGGGGAAUUUUGGACAAUGGGCGAAAGCCUGAUCCAGCAAUGCCGCGUGUGUGAAGAAGGCCUUCGGGUUGUAAAGCACUUUUGUCCGGAAAGAAAUCCUUGGCUCUAAUACAGUCGGGGGAUGACGGUACCGGAAGAAUAAGCACCGGCUAACUACGUGCCAGCAGCCGCGGUAAUACGUAGGGUGCAAGCGUUAAUCGGAAUUACUGGGCGUAAAGCGUGCGCAGGCGGUUUGCUAAGACCGAUGUGAAAUCCCCGGGCUCAACCUGAGAACUGCAUUGGUGACUGGCAGGCUAGAGUAUGGCAGAGGGGGGUAGAAUUCCACGUGUAGCAGUGAAAUGCGUAGAGAUGUGGAGGAAUACCGAUGGCGAAGGCAGCCCCCUGGGCCAAUACUGACGCUCAUGCACGAAAGCGUGGGGAGCAAACAGGAUUAGAUACCCUGGUAGUCCACGCCCUAAACGAUGUCAACUAGUUGUUGGGGAUUCAUUUCCUUAGUAACGUAGCUAACGCGUGAAGUUGACCGCCUGGGGAGUACGGUCGCAAGAUUAAAACUUAAAGGAAUUGACGGGGUCAUAGCUGUUUCCU
Molecule: ribosomal RNA, 585 nt
Filed under: uncultured bacterium
Lineage: Bacteria
Description: partial 16S ribosomal RNA
Rfam family: Bacterial small subunit ribosomal RNA
Source: RNAcentral